AAAUUGAAGAGUUUGAUCAUGGCUCAGAUUGAACGCUGGCGGCAGGCCUAACACAUGCAAGUCGAACGGUAACAGGAAGAAGCUUGCUUCUUUGCUGACGAGUGGCGGACGGGUGAGUAAUGUCUGGGAAACUGCCUGAUGGAGGGGGAUAACUACUGGAAACGGUAGCUAAUACCGCAUAACGUCGCAAGACCAAAGAGGGGGACCUUCGGGCCUCU
RNAcentral lists this ribosomal RNA (218 nucleotides) under Escherichia coli. RNAcentral describes it as "partial 16S ribosomal RNA". It matches the Rfam family "Bacterial small subunit ribosomal RNA", at positions 1 to 217 of the family's 1533-position model. The record is from RNAcentral. Lineage: Bacteria; Pseudomonadati; Pseudomonadota; Gammaproteobacteria; Enterobacterales; Enterobacteriaceae.